This 383-nucleotide ribosomal RNA is filed under the name uncultured eukaryote. Its description in RNAcentral is "partial 18S ribosomal RNA". It matches the Rfam family "Eukaryotic small subunit ribosomal RNA", at positions 592 to 976 of the family's 1831-position model. The record is from RNAcentral.
CAAUAGCGUAUAUUAAAGUUGUUGCGGUUAAAAAGCUCGUAGUUGGAUCUCGGCAGGCAGGGGUUGGUUCGCUCUUAGCGCUACUGCCCCAUUUGCCUGUGUGAUUGGCGGAGGUUUCGGGGUGCUCUUCGUUGAGUGACCCGGGGCGCCGUCAGGUUUACUUUGAAAAAAUUAGAGUGCUCAAAGCAGGCUUUUCACGCUUGAAUAUUCGUGCAUGGAAUAAUGGAAUAGGAACUCGUUUCUAUUUUGUUGGUUUUCGGAAAUCGAGUUAAUGAUUAAUAGGGACAAUUGGGGGCAUUAGUAUUCAGACGACAGAGGUGAAAUUCUUGGACCGUCUGAAGACUAACUACUGCGAAAGCAUUUGCCAAGAGUGUUUUCAUUAA